This 85-nucleotide transfer RNA is filed under the name Catenulispora sp. RNAcentral's name for it is "tRNA-OTHER". Lineage: Bacteria; Bacillati; Actinomycetota; Actinomycetes; Catenulisporales; Catenulisporaceae. The record is from RNAcentral.
GCGUCAGCGCCACAGCGCCCACCAGCGGACUUCGCGCGAUCCUCUCUUAAUCCGCGGGUUCGGGGUUCAAGUCCCUGACGGCGCA